UGGGGCAUAUUGCACAAUGGGCGCAAGCCCGAUGCAGCCAUGCCGCGUGUGUGAAGAAGGCCUUCGGGUUGUAAAGCACUUUCAGCGGGGAGGAAGGCGAUAAGGUUAAUAACCUUGUCGAUUGACGUUACCCGCAGAAGAAGCACCGGCUAACUCCGUGCCAGCAGCCGCGGUAAUACGGAGGGUGCAAGCGUUAAUCGGAAUUACUGGGCGUAAAGCGCACGCAGGCGGUCUGUCAAGUCGGAUGUGAAAUCCCCGGGCUCAACCUGAGAACUGCAUUCGAAACUGGCAGGCUAGAGUCUUGUAGAGGGGGGUAGAAUUCCAGGUGUAGCGGUGAAAUGCGUAGAGAUCUGGAGGAAUACCGGUGGCGAAGGCGGCCCCCUGGACAAAGACUGACGCUCAGGUGCGAAAGCGUGGGGAGCAAACAGG
Molecule: ribosomal RNA, 429 nt
Filed under: Chloroflexota bacterium
Lineage: Bacteria; Bacillati; Chloroflexota
Description: Chloroflexi bacterium partial 16S ribosomal RNA
Rfam family: Bacterial small subunit ribosomal RNA
Source: RNAcentral